Long non-coding RNA from Calypte anna (Anna's hummingbird), 704 nucleotides. RefSeq lists it as uncharacterized. NCBI's taxonomy places the organism in Eukaryota, Metazoa, Chordata, Aves, Apodiformes, Trochilidae. The record is from RefSeq and is a predicted model, not a curated record. The transcript is spliced from 3 exons.
CCUGGGCGGUGCUUUUAUCUGCGGGGGCGCGGGUCUGCCCCCCCCGCCCCUCAGGAGGGCCGGCGCUGCGGCGGGCGGUGAGGGAGGCGCAGUUCUUCUGAUCCAUACAUUUUGAUAUUCAGAAAUGGAGAAGGAAGACUGCAUUACCAUGUCACUUGAUGUUGAAAAGGGAGGGAAGGAAGAAAAAAAAAAGUGUGAGGAAGAGACAUGGAAGACAAAAGGACAAAAGGAUGACAAAGGGGAAGGCAGCCAAGCUAAAAAAGAGGAAUGAUGCAUGGGAAAGAGUUGGAGAGACAAGAGCAGGGGGUGAAUAUCACAGUAGGAAAACACCUUUUCUUCUAAAACUCCUCCUUAAGAUCUCUCUGUUCAAGGAACCUUCUGUGGGAAGGAAAUGAAGAUAAAAUGUCAAGAAGACACUUGCACAGACCUAUUUGAACAUACUUCUUGUCAGGAUACUAGUGCUUCUGAUCCUUUAAGGGCUGUACCUCUGCAACAGCACCAAGAUAUGCUUCAUCUCAGCUACAUAAACAGUGGAUAACAGGGGUCAGCAGAAGAAUUAUUGGUACUAAAACUGAUCUAAGCAAAGCUAAUGGAACAAAUGGAUUAUGCAACAAGUUUCCUUUCCUACUUUUCAGUGGUUUCAUCACUACCUAGCUACAGACUUAAAGUUUUGAAGAAAUAAAAUUUUGCUGAAGUAGAACCAA